UUGACAUGUAAAUUUAACUAUCAUAGGAUCCAAUUAUUAUUGCUUAGGAAAAUUUGUCCUCUGAAGUGUAUUCAGCUGAUCAGUGUCAAAGAAGGGAUUAGAGCCCAGGAAACUGACUUAAAGCUUGCAUUUUUAACCAAGAAUUUAUGUAAUUUUGUCUUUUUUCUAUAUUUAUUGAUUCAUUUCUUUAUUCAGGCACAGGUACUGGAAACCUCUUAGAUGGUAGGUGUGGCAUUACCUUCUGCAAAACAGUAAUCGAAGUACACAACAAUGUAUUUAGUAUAUUGAGUUAAAUAUGGUUACUGUGCAACAUACUAUAAUAUGUGCAUUGUAUUUUAGAUGCAACCUGUUACAUUCUAUACACCUUAAUAAAUUCACAGAACAUUUACAUAUGAAGAAAUCAAAACAACAUGUGGUCGUACAUGGAAUGAAGGCACAAUGAAGGCAAAUAUUGUAGGAACAGGUGGCUUAGGGAAAGCACUUAGGCGGUGACACUGAGAUUUGAGGGAGAGAGAGGACUGUGUAAGGAGAGGCACAGAGUGGAGGCAGGACCAAAAGGCACUAAGCACUGUAGCUAUUGUUAUCCUGUUCCUGCCCCGCUCCUGUGGCCCUCAGACCCAAGUAAACACACAGAGACUUAUAUUAUUUACAAAUUGUAUGGCAUAAUGGCUCAGGCUUCUUGCUAGCUGUUUUUAUAUCUUAAAUUAACCCAUUUCUAUUAAUCUAUAAGUUGCCACGUGGCUUGUGGCUUACCAGUAUCUUUACAUGUUGCUUCUCAUCAGUCUCCCUGCCUCAGGCUUCCACUUCCCAGAAUUCUCCUCUCUCUUUGUCCCGCCUAUCCUAUACUUCCUGCCUGGCUACUGGCCAAUCAGCGUUUUAUUUAUCAAUCAAUCAGAGCAACACAUAUAGAGAACAUCCCACAGCAAAGCACAUAGCACAGGAGGACAAACUUAUUUUUUUUAGUUAGCCAGGAGUUGCCAUUUAUGUUUCUUGAAGAAAAGUGAGCUGCCUUUCUCCCCCUCCCCUCUGUUUCUCCGUCCCUCUAUCCCUCUUUCUGUCUCUCUCUCUUUUUGUAUCUCUCAUCUUCACUGAACUCCCAAUCACUUAGAAAAAAAUGAUGUAAGCUUUGUUCUUUAUUAAAAUAAUAAAAAAUAGAAUUUAUCUUGGUAGUCCAAAUCUCUCACAACUCAUUACCUCUAUCAAAGACUGUGACACUGAGUUACAUAUUUCCUGUUAUUUCAAACACUUAUCCUUUGGUGAUGGUAUUUUCAAUUAUUAAUGCUUUUCCUUUUCCUUUUUCUGAAUAGAUAAUUGGGAACAGUUGUGACUAAGUGCAGGUAGGCUAAGGAAGAGCUUGAAGACUGGGUUGAGACCUAAGCCCAAGCAGUGGAUGCUGCUGUUGACCACAGGGGAAACAGCUGCCACAAACAGCUCCUGCUGGCAGCUGGCAUUAGAAGGGGGGGAAUCUUGGAGUUCAUUUGAACAUAACUAGUGGGCCAUCUGGAGUGCCUUACCAAAAGGUAAGGCUGAGAAUCAUGAUUAAUAUUGCAAAAAGGAAGGUGUGCAUAUGAGCAUGUGUGCAGUCAGCAUGCAAUGUCUUAGAGGUAUUUUAUGUCAUGAACCAACAUCUAAAGGAAUGUUAAUACAGAACAGAGGGAUCUAUUAGCUUAAAUAUUUAGUAAAGCAUUGAUCUUUGAAUUGUGUUUUAAAAUUUAGAAGGAACAGUAAUUGUGUUUGGAAUGGGUUUAGAGGAAAUCCAUCAGUGAAGAUGUGUGAAGUAUUUGUACACAUAUCUCAAUAGUCUAGAAAAUGUGAUAUAAUCAAAUCAACUAGUCUAUCUAUCUAUCUAUCUAUCUAUCUAUCUAUCUAUCUAUCUGUCUGUCUGUCUAUCUAUCUAUCUAUCUAUCUAUCUAUCUAUCUAUUUCCCUCCCUCCGUCUGUCCCUCCCUCCUAACCUACCUACCUAUCUAUUUAUCUACAACCUGGAGAUGAUGUACAAUGGUAAGAAUAGCUCAUAAUAAUUUACUUGAACCUUUUGGUAAAGAAUAAUUCACAGGUUCAUUAGAGGUUAAUAUGGUCUUUGCACAUUCAUAUUUUUAGACUCCAAGAGUAGCAUGACUAUUGAUGUUUUUUAUAACAUCAUUUGCUUUACUAAGCUACAGUUUCUUUUGUAUGUAUAUGUAUGUGCACUGUGUAUGUGCAGUACACAUGUGUGUGUUUGUGCUUAUGUAUGCCACAGUCAACCUCAUAUGUUGUUCCUUAGGCACUGUGCACCUUGUUUUUUGAGACAGUAUCUCUUAAUGACUUGGAGCUUUGAGUAUUCUAGAAUGGCUGACUAGUGAACCCCAGGGUUCCCCCUGUUUCUACAUUCUCAGUGCUAGGAUUACAAGCAAGCACUAAUAUGUUUGGCUUUUUGACAUAGGUCCUGGGGAUCAAACUCACAUUCUCAGGCUUAUGUAGAUAGCACAUUAUUUCAGAGCUACAAUUUGUCAGCAACAUGAAGGUGUUUCUACUUCAUGAAAUGUAUAUAGCAGAGGAAUUCAUUUAUUUAAUAGUAAGUUGAAAAGUAUAAAGGCUCAUAACAAUAUAAGGAAUGGUAGUCAUUUUUUCAGGCCAUGUACUAUGGAACCUCAAUUAUAUGUGAGGGCAUUUGUUACUUGCUGGAACUAAGUGCAUUGACACAACUGACAGAGGAACUGUGGUGGUUUGAAUGUGAUUGGCCCCCAUAACCUCAUUGGGAGUGGUACUAUUAGGAGGUGUGGCUUGUUGGAGUGGGUGUGGCCUUGUUGGAGGAAGUGUGCCACUGUGGGGGCAGGCUUUGUGGUCUCUUUUGCUCAAGCUUAGCUCAGUGGGACACUAAGUCCAUUUCCUGUUGCCUGUAAGAUGUAGGACUCUCAGCUACUACUCCAGCACCGUGUCUGUCUGCACACUGUCAUGCUCCCCUCUAUGAUGAUAAUGGACUGAACAUCUGAAACUGUAAAUGAGCCACCCAAUUAAAUAUUUUACUUUAUAAGAGUUGCUGUGGUCACGGUGUCUCUUCACAGCAAUAGAAACCUUAACUAAGACAAGAAGUCUCUCUUUCUUUGAUGUCUUUGGAAGAAAUGAACAAAAUGCUAUUCCUCUAUAACCCUACUAUGGACUAUCUACAAGAAGAUAAAGGAAAUUAAAAAGUCACAUGAUGAAAUAUUCUGUAAACAAAGGACAGAUAUAAAGAAGCAAAAGAAAGGGGAAUUUAAAAAUGCUGGAGAGACAUUAGCAAAGCGAGAAGUGAAACAUGAGAAAUAUCAACUUGUCACAUUGUAGAUGAAUUUCUAAAUGGUCUUAUUAAAUAAAAAACAUGGAGCCAGAAAUUUGGGCUAAAGCCUUAGAGAGAUCAGGGAAAUGUGGAAAGCCACCAGCUAAACCUCACCUCACCAACUCUACAGCUUCCAAGAGCAUGACUUCCUGUCUACCCAGGCUUAUAUGACUUGCUUUUCUACCCUCUCAUUGGCUCUUAGCCCAGCUACCUCACUUCCUUUUCCUAUUCAGCUCUGUCACUGUCUGUCUGUCUGUACAGACCUCCAGGUCUCUAUGGUUGGUACUAGGAUUAAAGGCGUGUGUCACCACACUUGGCUCUGUUUCCUAGUGUGGCCUUGAACACACAGAGAUCCUGCCUGCUAAGGGAUUAAGGGCAUGUGCUGCCUGACUUCUUGUUUACUUAAAAUGGUUGGCCUCUUCCCCCCAUCUCCAGGUAAACUUUAUUUAUUAAUGUACAAAUAAAAUAUCACUACAUUUCAGCACAAAUGAAAUAUCACCACAUCACAUCACAAAUAUUUUCAGGUUUUUACCAAAAGUGGUAAGUUAAAGGGUUAGAAAGUGUUACAGUCAUAUUCCCUGCAAAUUUUGGAUUAAAGUUCAGUAAAAAAAUGAAAAACAAACCUCUUUAAUUAUUAUAUCCAAAUUCAAACUCUAAAUUUUAUUCCAAUUCUAAGAUAUAUUUCUAUCUUUAAGAUAUACUUUCAGUCUUGAAGAAACACUUAUUUCUUCUAUAAACACAAGUUGACUUUAAAGGGAAACGAGUUACAGGAUAGUAGGUGGAGACAAGGGAAGUUAGUCUGUGUUCGUGGUGGGGGGAGGGAGGCAAAUACAAGCAAGGGGCAAUGAUAUACGUGCGUAAAAAUGGCAGUAAAACCCAUUAAAUUGUACACACGGGCUAAAAUUAAUGAUAAAGAAGUGAUUGACUGAGUUAUGAAACACCUAGAAAAUAAAAUGCAAUUCAGCUUCGAAACAAGAGACAAAAUCCCCCAUCCAGUCUGCUUCUAAACUUUAUUCUGAGCCUGUCUUUUCAGUGACUUUGGAAAAGGAAGUCUUGGCUUUGGACUUGGAGAAAGGUCAGCUGCUGUUGCAGAAAGGGGGCUCAUGCCUGUGUGACAGAUUUCCAGCGGUACAUGGGGACACAGGCUCUGACUGAGACCUGACACCCCGGCUUCCUGUUUCUACUGAAUGAGUCCUGCCAGCUGAUACACUCAUCUCAAUGGUUUUGCAGGAGGAAGUCAGGAAAUGCUCCCCGGAUGUAUGGACACAGAGCAAAAGCUUGGAGGAACAGAGAGACCAGGGCCAAAGAAAUCACAAUGGAGGAUUAUCUACAGGGGAACAGCUUAUCUUCAGUUUAUGCUGCAGUCACGAAAAAAGUGAGAUGAUUUCUUCUGGAAACGUUGAAAAAAUAGUUGAUUCCUGAAUCAUUAGGUGAGGUGAUUUCACAUAUAAUAAUCUAUAUGUAAU
Long non-coding RNA from Peromyscus californicus insignis, 4760 nucleotides. RefSeq lists it as uncharacterized. The record is from RefSeq and is a predicted model, not a curated record. The transcript has 3 exons. Lineage: Eukaryota; Metazoa; Chordata; Mammalia; Rodentia; Cricetidae.